UACGUAGGGUGCAAGCGUUAAUCGGAAUUACUGGGCGUAAAGCGUGCGCAGGCGGUCUAUUAAGACAGGUGUGAAAUCCCCGGGCUUAACCUGGGAACUGCGCUUGUAACUGAUAGGCUUGAGUGUGGCAGAGGGGGGUGGAAUUCCAGGUGUAGCAGUGAAAUGCGUAGAUAUCGAGAGGAACACCUGCGGCGAAGGCGGGUUGCUGGGCUGACACUGACGCUGAGGCGCGAAAGCCAGGGGAGCGAACGGG
RNAcentral lists this ribosomal RNA (253 nucleotides) under uncultured prokaryote. RNAcentral's name for it is "partial 16S ribosomal RNA". It matches the Rfam family "Bacterial small subunit ribosomal RNA", at positions 524 to 776 of the family's 1533-position model. The record is from RNAcentral.